UAUGUGAUCGUCUCUCGCAUAUCAAUAAGCGGAGGAAAAGAAACUAACAAGGAUUCCCCUAGUAACGGCGAGUGAAGCGGGAAGAGCUCAAAUUUGAAAUCUUAAAGGGUUUCCCUUUACGAAUUGUAGUUUAAAGAAGUGUUUUCUGCUGAGGUUUUGGUAAAAGUUCUUUGGAAUAGGACAUCAUAGAGGGUGAGAAUCCCGUAUUUGACCUUUACUUUCAACUUUGUGAUACACUUUCAAAGAGUCGGAUUGUUUGGGAAUGCAGUCCAAAAUGGGUGGUAAAUUUCAUCUAAAGCUAAAUAUUGGCGAGAGACCGAUAGCGAACAAGUACCGUGAGGGAAAGAUGAAAAGAACUUUGAAAAGAGAGUUAAACAGUACGUGAAAUUGUCAAAAGGGAAGCGUUUGACACCAGUGUUGUUUUUCUGAAAAUCAAUUAAAGAACUGUUUAUGCUAAGUUGUUUAGACUUUAUCAGCUAACUGUUUAGUUUUGAGCUUUUCUUUAAUGCACUUUUCAGUUAACAAGUCAACAUCAAUUUCUUUUGCUGUAAAAAAGCUUGAGGAAGGUGGCUUGAGAUUCGUCUUAAGUGUUUAUAGCCUCUUGCCUAUGCAGUCGGAGAGAUUGAGGUCUGCAGCGUAGAUCCUUCGGGGCUAAAUGCAUUUGUGCUAAGUUAUAGCAUUUUAUAGACAACUUGUUGACUAUGAUUUGUCUUGUAGCUUACUCGCUUAUGUUAUUUUACCUACGCUUAGGAUGUUGAUCUACAGAGCGAGAGU
RNAcentral lists this ribosomal RNA (774 nucleotides) under uncultured Neocallimastigales. RNAcentral describes it as "partial large subunit ribosomal RNA". It matches the Rfam family "Eukaryotic large subunit ribosomal RNA", at positions 24 to 631 of the family's 3401-position model. Lineage: Eukaryota; Fungi; Neocallimastigomycota; Neocallimastigomycetes; Neocallimastigales. The record is from RNAcentral.